AUGGCCCCUUUUCCUGACAAGAACAGAUAACCUAUGCAAGAAGCAUGAACCUAUAAAGGCAGCAUCCUUAGAUGUUGUACCCCAAAGGCACAAAUAUUUGGUUGAACCUCUAGAGGAGAGCACAGCACAUACCGCAGUGCAACUGCAACUUUGGGAGAGAUGCAGACACAGAAGUCGCUUAUGCCCUGUCCAAACUUCUUACCCACAGAAAUUACAAGGAAGCAACUGUCUAUUUCUUAAAGGUCACUGGAAGAAGAGAAUAGUGACUUCACACUUAUCAAGGCAUCUAGCUCUAAGUCUAAUCCAGUCAUUCCUUAAAGUCUGCAUAGAUCCUACAUGGAGAGUGCUAAACCAAGUCUGUCUUAAGCAUGGCAAAAAGGAAAGACCAUUUCAUGUUGCAAACCAGCAAACGUUUUAGCAAACAAAGGGGAAAACUGAAUGUCAGAAAGGGAAUACAAAUCUUCUUGUUUAGUAAUUCUUUUUUACCAACAGCGUGGUUUUAUCUUGAGACUCUCAUUCAGUGUCACAUAGCUUGCUAUGUUGUUGUCCCAAGUACAAGUUCAAAAACCGAAACAGAACCAAUACAAAGGAAACACUAGAAGAGUACAAUAGACCUUCUGUUUUCGUCUAUACUUCAUCACUGUCUUAACGGUCUCCCCCCAAGAUCGAAGAGGGCAGAAAUGUGACAAUUUUCGAAGAAAUAUCUCAGCCUUCUCUUACUCUCACUUAUAAGUGCAGAGUCCCUUUCCUGUCUUUUUCCUGGGUUGCUAUGCUUUCUUGUAUUGUGCUAGAAACUCUCACCUCUCUGAUCCUUCUCAAAUCCAAAGCAAGCAAGGAAAAUAGAAGACGGAGAAAGAGAUUAAAAGGAGGAAUGGACAUUAGACAAAAAAAUAAAAUAACUGA
Fukomys damarensis (Damara mole-rat) is the source of this 903-nucleotide long non-coding RNA. RefSeq lists it as uncharacterized. The transcript is spliced from 6 exons. The record is from RefSeq and is a predicted model, not a curated record. NCBI's taxonomy places the organism in Eukaryota, Metazoa, Chordata, Mammalia, Rodentia, Bathyergidae.